This is a long non-coding RNA of Sinocyclocheilus anshuiensis, 554 nucleotides long. RefSeq lists it as uncharacterized. NCBI's taxonomy places the organism in Eukaryota, Metazoa, Chordata, Actinopteri, Cypriniformes, Cyprinidae. The record is from RefSeq and is a predicted model, not a curated record. The transcript has 4 exons.
UUCCGGACCAGUUCAGUUUUUAAAGCAAGUUAGUAUAUUGAGGCCAAGCUUGGAUGGAUUCCAGUCGCUGAUCAACAGUCAUAUAAUUAUGGCUCAAGGUACAGAUGAUAAUGUCAUGGACACCUCUCCUGAAUCAUAUGGAGAUUCAGAUUAUGUAAUGGACGCUUCUGCAGUUUCAUAUAAAAAUUCAGAUUAUGUCAAUCCUCCAGUGACACAUCAAUAUACAGACGACAUUAUAGACAAUCCUCAUGAAACAGAUCAAGAAGCAGAUGAUGUCUUGGCUCCUUCUCCAGCAACACAUCAAACUCCAGAUAAUGUGAUGGACAAUCCUCCAGUGGCACAUGAUGAAAGAUAUACAGACAACUUGAAUUAUGACAAUCAUGACUCAGUUGUGACAGACUCAGCCACUAAAAUAGAAUUUUAGAUGCAACCAACUCCAGUUCCUUUAAUAUCUCUUGAUCAAGACCUUGGUGUAAACACUCCAGGAACCUCAAAUAAAGCAUGUGAAGAAUACGAGGAUAAAGUGAAGCCAGUAGAAGAAUUGAGUAACCCGA